GAUGAACGCUGGCGGCGUGCCUAAUACAUGCAAGUCGAGCGAACAGAUGAGGAGCUUGCUCCUCUGACGUUAGCGGCGGACGGGUGAGUAACACGUGGAUAACCUACCUAUAAGACUGGGAUAACUUCGGGAAACCGGAGCUAAUACCGGAUAAUAUAUUGAACCGCAUGGUUCAAUAGUGAAAGACGGUUUUGCUGUCACUUAUAGAUGGAUCCGCGCCGCAUUAUCUAGUUGGUAAGGUAACGGCUUACCAAGGCAACGAUGCGUAGCCGACCUGAGAGGGUGAUCGGCCACACUGGAACUGGGACACGGUCCAGACUCCUACGGGAGGCAGCAGUAGGGAAUCUUCCGCAAUGGGCGAAAGCCUGACGGAGUAACGCCGCGUGAGUGAUGAAGGUCUUCGGAUCGUAACACUCUGUUAUUAGGGAAGAACAAAUGUGUAAGUAACUAUGCACGUCUUGACGGUACCUAAUCAGAAAGCCACGGCUAACUACGUG
This 497-nucleotide ribosomal RNA is filed under the name uncultured bacterium. Its description in RNAcentral is "partial 16S ribosomal RNA". It matches the Rfam family "Bacterial small subunit ribosomal RNA", at positions 28 to 507 of the family's 1533-position model. The record is from RNAcentral.